This 268-nucleotide long non-coding RNA is filed under the name Elaeis guineensis (African oil palm). RNAcentral's name for it is "long non-coding RNA (EGUI_LNC006832)". Lineage: Eukaryota; Viridiplantae; Streptophyta; Magnoliopsida; Arecales; Arecaceae. The record is from RNAcentral.
GUAUGUCCAUUUAGCUCAUCUAGCCUAUCUAAUAAGUUACUCAUUUAGCAUGAUUAGGAUUUAACAUGGAUAGUAACUCACGUUACCUGUCCCCUUAAGCUACCUAUUUAAUAGAAGUCUAAUAGCCCAUAACUUGAUAAAUCAAACCUAUGGUGACAAAGAUCGAGAAUCAACUGGCUAAAAUAUGGAGAUAAAAAUAUCAAGUAUUUUCAUGCUUAUGCCUCUAAUAGGAGAAGGAAAAACUUUAUCUCAAGCAUUGAACGCCAAG